This 4896-nucleotide long non-coding RNA is filed under the name Homo sapiens (human). RNAcentral's name for it is "HSALNT0361695". Lineage: Eukaryota; Metazoa; Chordata; Mammalia; Primates; Hominidae. The record is from RNAcentral.
UACUAGAAACAUGGAUGAGGGUUAUGGAUGAAAUUUCUCCGAAGUUUUAAAAGUUGGAGAGUUAAAGGCUGGCGUGGCAGUGACAGAAUCUUGCUGAAGACUAGAGUAAAACACUUGCAUUCAUGCAUUAUUGCAGAUUUUUAAGCUGAUGUAUCCAAGGUGACUGUGCUGGACACUAAUGAGGAAAAAGAUAUGACUGAAAUGGCAGGAGUACGUGCCUUCAGAGAAGCUGGACAACCCCACCCCCACUGCUUACACAGAAAGGAUGAAGGGACACAAGGAAGAACCCACAUUUUGAAAUCUUAGGCUGGAUUGAACUAAAAAUAGACCUGUGAUUCAAAUGUCUAUUACUGAGUUCUCUGCUUUUGCACUCUGGAAACCAGGUUGUUUCACUCCCCAUCAAAUCUACCUCCCUAAGGUGUUCAUUCCCACAGCUUGGAGACACAGCAAAGUAAAAACUGCUGAGAGUCUAAUGAGUGUGUGGUACCAUGCCGGGCCCUUUAUACCCAUGAUCUCAUCUGUGCUGCACAAUAACCUUGGGAUGCAUGUACAGAGGAGGAAACUGAGGCCCAGUUAGGUAAGAUGACUUGCCCAAGGUCAUUCAGCUACUAAGUGGCAAUACUGGGAAUUGAAUGAACUCAGGUCAGUCUGACUCCCGAACCCAUGCUCUUUCAAACAGAAAUCCUUGCUACAUUUCAAAGAGGCAGAGCUUCAUUUUAAGCUUAAUGAGUAAUGAAAGCAACAUUGCUCCCUAAUUUACCUUCUGGCUCUGGGAAGGACCCAGCAAGGCAGCCAUUUGAAUGAUUCAUUCCUGUGACUGACAAGGAGACUUCUCUUGGUUAUAGCUUCAGCAGCUGCUAAAUCUGCUACACACCACCCCACUUCACCCCCUCCAUUUGGCUCAGGUAGGUGGAAUUAUUUAUGUAAGAAUUUCAGUGGCCUCCUGCCUUAAGCAUGAUUAUCACAGACUUUUAAGUGAUAAAAAUGUCAUAAAUCAUAAUAAAGGACAAAAGGAAUCAGGGUCAGGGAAGGUAACAGGAAAGAAGAUAUUCUGAAAAGCAAAGAAGUAGGUACAGAUGCAACAGGGUAACUCUCAGCAUUUACAUAAACACUUUCCUAGCAAUUUAUUCAUCUGAUCCUCAUAAUACCCUGGUAGAUGUUAGUAUCUCCAUUUUACAGAUGAAGAAUGUGAGGGUUAGAUCUGAGGUCCAAGGUCAGACCGUGGGUAGGAUAAGAACCCAGGUCUCCUAAUUCUCGCUCAGUGCUUCCCAUAAGCCACUCACCCAAUAAAGUGAAGACAGAAAUCCAUGAGAACUAUCAGAGAAAGAACUCUGUAGUCUUGCCCCUCUGCAUGACAGGACCAGGGAGGGGAAAGUGGCUGCGACAGUAUCAGAGAGUAGUAGCACGGAGUCUGGAACUGUGGGCUCAGGAACAUUUUUCAAGUCCCACCUUAGAUAUAUACUACUACAUAAUUGUGUGACCCUAGGCAACUCAUUUAAUCUCUGCCCUGAUUUCCUCACUUGUAAAACAUAGCAAACAAUAGUACCCACUUCAUAUGGUGGUUGUGAUGACUAAAUAGAAAAAAAAAUACCAUACAUGAACAGUGCUUGGCGCCAAGGCAAACAAUCAGUAAGUGUUAGCUGUCACUGUUUUCAUCAUUAUCAUCAUGAACGUGCCCAACACACUGCUUGGCACAUGAGAAAUGUUAAGUGAAUGUUCAUUUCUUCUCCUUCCCCUUGCUCCUGUAUUUCCCAAGGCACCACACCCCCAUCUGUUAUCUGUAGACCUGUUAAGACGAGGUCUAGGGUUGAGGAAGAGCACACAGUGCUUCUUCCCAGGCAAUGUGACUGGGCUGGCCUUGUUUACUGGGGCAGUGAGCUGCUACACAAAGUCAUUAAUCAUACGUGGUGCUAUGUGCUUUCAGGUCACUCUGCAGAAAUGGACAACUCCAUCUGGUUUUUCCUCAGGGAGACAGAGCCUUCCCAUGUAUCCACGUAUGGAGUUCCUAUUGAGGACUCAACCUUUGCAAUAGCUUCUUGGAAUCUGGAAAGUCUACUAAGGUAAAAAUUGAUAACUGGAUCAUGCUAAGUUCUGGCAAGGAUGUGGAGCUAUAGAAAUCUGCAUUUACUGCUUCUGUCAAGCAUCAGGCACUAAGCUCAGUCCUUUAUAUAUAUUAUCCCGUCUAACUGUCAUAGUUGCUCUGAGCAUUUUCAUUCUUUAUCUACAUAGGGAAACUGAGGUUCAAGGAGGUUAUAAUUCACUCAACGUUGCAUUGCUAGGAAGGAGCAGAGCUGAGUUUCUUUCAUGGACUUAGUGUCCCUCUCAAAAUCACGUCAACUUCAUUUGAAAAUUAUAAUGAAACUAUUAAAACUAUAAUAUUCUUACUUUUUAUACAAAAUUAUUAUCUUUCUUUUCCAACCAUACUUGUACUUGUUACAACCUCAGAAGGCCUAUAUAAAGUAAAGCGGGGGAGUAGGAGAGCCAGAGUAUUAUCUUUAUUUUAUAGAUGUGCUAUUGGAGCCCUUGGAGGGCGAGUAAAUUACUUAAGGUAAUUUAAAUUUCAUUUUAAAAUUGAAGAUUAACAAAGGUACCUGGACAGUUUAAGGAGCCAGAUUAAAAAGACAUCUUCACUAGGGGACAGUCAGUACUGGAUUUGGAAACUGUCACAGUUUUAAAUACAGUAGUGCCCCCUUAUCUUCAGGGGACAUGUUCCAAGACCCCCAAGGGAUGCCUGAAAUCUCAGAUAGUACCAAACUAUAUAUAUUUGCUAUUUUUUCCUAUACAGUAACAGGCGGAUAGUAUAUACAUCAUGGACACACUGGACAAAGAGAUGAUUCAUGUUCUGGGUGGGAUGGAGUGACAUGGCAUGAGAUUUCAUCACGCUACUCAAAAUGUGAAACUUUUGCAUUAUUUCUGGAAUUUUCCAUUGAGUAUUUUCGGACUGUGGCUGACUGCAGGUAACAGAAACUGUAGAAAGUGCAACUGCAGAUAAGGGGAACUACUGUUCUCCCUCUGAGACACGAUUUGAAGCAAAGGGGCCUGGGCUGAGUGGUGGGAGAUCUGCUUUCUUAGUCUGCCUGGGCAGGUCCUCUGGCUGGCUCACAACUGAAACAUAUCACUGCCCCUUCUAAGACUUGAAUAUUUCACUUACAGAUGAAGAUUGGGAACAGUUGGCUUCUGAGAUCCUUUCCAGCACCAACCCACUUUAAUUCUAUAAACCCAACAUUCCCAAGUAUACCAUGGUCAUCUGUACUUUGCAGGCUCUCUCUAGAAUGGACAAAGGUUAUUCUGCAGUGUGGGCACAGAUGUGGUCCUGUAAUGCAAGAUACUGAAAACCACAUCCCCACCCCUAACCCACAAAUUUCCUCUCUAGGCCUCUUUUAUAGGAAUGUCUUCAGACUACCCCACUGCCUAUCCCACUGACAAUUUAAAGGCAAUAUAACUAACAAGCUCAUCCUUUACCCUCUGUCAAUAUCUCUGCUGCCCAUGGCUGGCUCCCCUGUGCUCUGGCCUCCCUAGUGCAAGCUGACUCAGUCAAUACCCAAGACUUACCAUUUCUACCACUAGGCCCUCUCUUAUAUUGAUUCCCAAUUACACAUUACUUUGUUGACUUCUUUUCAUAUUCCACCCUUUAGAUCCUGAAUUCAUCAUCCUUUGUGUAAUAAAUUCCCAGUUUUCAGAAAAAGUGAAAUGGUCCCCUUCUAUGCCUUCAUGGAGACAGGCUGCAGCUGGAGCCUUUUGGCAGCCAAAAGAGACCCCUUUGCAGCUCUUAACAAUCUGUUACUGAAUAAUUUGAGAGAAUAUUGCUAAUUAUGAACCUGUGUCUUUAGAUACCCAAGUCCUUAAGCUGCAGAGUACCCAGGACAAGGUUCUCCUCCUUGAGCAAGUUACCCUCUCUGCCAUAGUUUCCCCAUCUGUGAAACAGGUAUAAUAAUAGUACCUACCUUACUGUUGAUGUAAAGAAUCAAUUAAUAAUGUAUGUAAAAUGUGUAAAACCACACAUAGAUCAAUAAUGUCAACUAUUACUGUUAUUAUGGUUCAAUAAAUAUUUGACAGUUGGUCACACAGUGUGUUGGCUUCCUGGACUCUUCUUCCCCCUUAACUUUCCUAAAAAGCCAAGCUAUUGAAGUCAUUAUCUUUUUUUGUUUCUUAAAUCACAUUUGAGUUCAUAUGGUGAGCCUUGGCAGAGCCCCCAAAAAUAAUGAAACGAAAGGAAACAUGUCUAAACAGGUCUACAAUUUGGCAUAGCACUGGUUUGGUACAAACCUAUGCAGCCUAGGGAAAUGGAGAAUAUAAUAUCUCCAGUAUGGGUGAGUAGCAGAAACUACCCAGAAACAAGCCAAGUCAAGGGCUCCUGAGGCCAUGGACUGCUAGGUCACAGUGACAAAGGUGGGACCUUUGGAGCUCACCUCUAAAGUUGCCGACGUUCUAUCUCCAGAGGGGUGUAAUGUGCCAGCUGAAGUUAGGACUUGUGGGUGACCGUUCCGGACAUAGCCCAUAACUUGCUGUGUGACUUAGGGCAAAUCAUUUCCAAACUUAGGCCUUAAUUUCCUCUUCUGUAAAGAUUAGGCUGUUUCUAAAGUCCCCUCCACCAUGAAAGUCUGUGGUUCUAUGACCCCAGGGUUCUUCUUACAUUAGAUCAGCUAAGAUUUUGCUUCUCCCCGCUCUGAAAAGCAGUCCCUCCCAGACUAGAAGCAUAUACGUCUUCUUUGGCUACCCUCGCCAUUUGGCAAAAUUAAAAUUUUAAAAAGCAUCUGUCUAAGAGCUCCCCAUAUUUUUCCCCCUUCUUGCUAUGUAAUGCCAUUUGGUGAAAACUUCUUCAAGUAAGUUCCCAGCUGAUCUUAGUAAAUUUCCUUCACAAGAAGUAUUCAUCUCAGAGGUGCUGCCCGAAUAAAA